AUGAACGCCCGAACCAUCCCGACGACGCAAAAGAGUCAACAGCCCCGAAGGGGACGCGCGGGACGAGGCAGGGACACACCGCUCGCACGGCACCCGGUUGGAAGAAAGAAGAAGAGUCCGCGCGGAUCCGCCCCGGCCGCGUGGGCGGGCACGCCACGAUCCGACGGCUCGCGCCGACGAUUUUUGGCACGGCACCGGCAAACGCAAAGCAAGCAAUCAGGCUGGCAGGAAAAAGGAUCGAGGAGGAGGUGGACGACUCCGCCCGCACACCCCCGCGCCACGGACAAAACCACUGGUAGUAGUACCACCGGAGAAGGGGGCAAGCGCGCGCGACGCGACGCGACGCACGCGGGAGAACGAAGCCCCCCACUCCCUUCCUCUCCUCCUCCUCCCCGCCCCGGCAUCGAGGCUCCCGGCGGGAUGGGCGCGGGGAAUGGCCUGAGCAACGGCGCCGCGGCCGCGGCCGAGGCGGCGCCCGACGGGACCACGGUGUUCCGGGCCACGGCCUACUCGCCGCUGCGCACCACGCUGGCGCUGGCGCUCUGGCUGGGGGCCAUCCACUUCAACGUCCUCCUCGUCCUCGCCUCCCUCUUCCUCCUCCCCCGCCGCGUCGCCGCCAUGGUGCUCGGCACGCAGCUCUUCUUCAUGCUCGUGCCCCUCAAUGACAAGAGCAGGAUUGGACGCAAGAUCGCCAGAUUCAUAAGCAAGUACGUCGUUGGGUACUUCCCCGUCACUCUACAUGUGGAGGACUACAAGGCCUUUGACCCCAAAAGAGCUUACGUGUUCGGUUAUGAACCGCAUUCUGUUCUGCCCAUCGGCCUUGGGGCCCUCGUGGACCUUGUUGGAUUCAUGCCAUUGCCGAAGACCAAGGUUCUUGCAAGCACUGCGGUGUUCUACACUCCGUUCUUGAGGCAGAUAUGGACGUGGUUGGGCUUGGUUCCUGCUUCAAGAAAGAACUUCUACUCCUACCUUCGAGCUGGUUAUACCUGCAUCGUAGUGCCUGGAGGUGUACAGGAGAUGCUUCACAUGGAUCAUGAUUCGGAGGUUGCUUUUCUGAAAUCAAGAAAAGGUUUUGUUAAGAUCGCUAUGGAGACAGGUUCUCCUUUAGUCCCGGUCUUCUGCUUCGGACAGAGCCUUGUGUACAAGUGGUGGAGGCCAGGUGGCAAGUUGAUUGUGAAGAUUGCUAGAGCAAUUAAAUUUACUCCAAUUGUUUUCUUUGGGAAAUACGGGACUCCCAUCCCUUUCGCGACACCACUUCAUCUGGUUGUUGGAAGACCAAUCGAGGUUCAGAAAAAUCCUCAGCCUACAUAUGAUGAGAUAAACGAGGUGCAUGAACAAUUUGUGGUUGCGAUGCAAGAACUAUUCGAAAAGUACAAGACAAAAGCUGGAUAUGACAAACUCGAAUUGAGAGUUCUAUGA
RNAcentral lists this ribosomal RNA (1419 nucleotides) under Triticum aestivum (bread wheat). RNAcentral describes it as "partial small subunit ribosomal RNA". Lineage: Eukaryota; Viridiplantae; Streptophyta; Magnoliopsida; Poales; Poaceae. The record is from RNAcentral.